RNAcentral lists this ribosomal RNA (389 nucleotides) under uncultured bacterium. RNAcentral describes it as "bacterial SSU rRNA". It matches the Rfam family "Bacterial small subunit ribosomal RNA", at positions 28 to 404 of the family's 1533-position model. The record is from RNAcentral.
GACGAACGCUGGCGGCGUGCCUAAUACAUGCAAGUCGAGCGAAUUUACGAGAGCUUGCUCUCGUAAAUUAGCGGCGGACGGGUGAGUAACACGUGGGCAACCUGCCUAUAAGACUGGGAUAACUUCGGGAAACCGGAGCUAAUACCGGAUAAUUCACAUCUACUCAUGUAGAUGUGCUGAAAGACGGUUUACGCUGUCACUUAUAGAUGGGCCCGCGGCGCAUUAGCAGUUGGUGAGGUAACGGCUCACCAAGGCCACGAUGCGUAGCCGACCUGAGAGGGUGAUCGGCCACACUGGGACUGAGACACUGGCCCCGGACUCCGUACGGGGGGCUGCAGUAACGAAUCUUCCCCAAUGCGACGAAAGCGUGAGGGAGCGACGCCGCGUGU